Molecule: long non-coding RNA, 1392 nt
Filed under: Mustela putorius furo (domestic ferret)
Lineage: Eukaryota; Metazoa; Chordata; Mammalia; Carnivora; Mustelidae
Description: lncRNA (ENSMPUG00000027545.1)
Source: RNAcentral
CACGGAGGCGAAAGGGGCAGAUGGAAACCAGGCCUCCGCUGGCCGGGCGCGCGUAAGCGCCGCACUCUGCAGCUCGACGCAAAGCCAGGGCUGGAUUUUCGAGGCCCGGGCCCGGCGGCCUCCCCGCGCCGGCGCGAUCCUCUCUCCCUCGGGCUGAGCAAACGUGCUCGCCUAAUUCCGCCCUGGAGACAGCAGCUGUGCGGCGAGAGCAGGGGAGGGCGGGGUGGGGGGGGGCAGCAACUUUUCCAACAGAAAGUGUAUGCGCACAGGAGAGGUGAAGGCCCACCCCGAUUCUGUGCACGUACCGACACAGCAUCUAAUCAGUGUCACUGCCAGGAAUACGCUUCCGCGGCGGGCGACACCCCCGCCCCCGCCAACCUGCAGGAAGGAGGGGGGAAUGCAAAUGGCGUCUCACGUCGUCCCAGACUCUGCACGGCUCCCGCUGCCCCGAGACCCAGAGCAGACGUCGCAGCGGGCCAAGCGCCGCCACUCUGGGGACGCGAACACACUGGCGGCCGGCGCCCCUUUCCUGUGUUCCGGUCUCGGGAAAAGGAACUAGCACUGCUCCCCGUUCCGAGGCCAUUCCCCCUGCCCCCACGUCCGGAAAAGCCGCCCUUCUGUAGGGCACAGUGGUUGGCACACAGUAGGCAUCAAAUUCUGGUGGAAUGAAUGGGGGCCUGAACGAGUGACUGACAGAACCGGUGAUGGCAAGUGAUUUUGGAGAAAGCAGCCUCAACUCUUGAUCCUUCUAAGAUGAUGGUCCUACCUCAAUAAAACCUCUGUUUUUGGAGUGUUUGCAGGUAACAGGAAACUCUUAUUCAAAAAUAUACUAACCUUCCUCCUCUCCCUCCCAGCCAAUCAGCUUGGCAGCAUUUGAACUUGCUGGGGCACAUACCCAAAGCGGCUUUUACUGGGUGUUAGCCCUUUCUUUCCCAACGCUAUUCUUUCUCUGGAGGCUUCUGCUUAGGGUCAGGGAGGCUGGAACUGAGUUUGAGAUGAUUCGAAACAUAUAGCAAGAAGGAAGGAGUGUAUGUCCCCGCAGACAUGGCCCAUUGGCUUCUCUUCCACAGGCAGGCCGUGGGGAGGGGGUGGGGAAGCAUGGUUUACAGCUCAGUGGUUCUUUUUUUAAAUUCACGGACCACAUCAGGACCACCACCAUCCUGCAGCCAGCUUCUGUCACAGCCCUCACCAGCUGUGAGGCCACAUCUGUCCAAAUAUGAGGCUAUCUACCUUAGCCAAUAGCUCUGAGAUGCUGAUCAGUAGGACCAUAUCUGCCAUUUGGAGAGCUGCCACUGACUCUCUGUGCUGUCCCCCUCCUUCCGGUGGCCCCUGAGAGAGGAUGUGAUUAAAAAAAAAAAAAUUCCUCUAUUUAGAGAAUCCGAUAGAAUGUAC